GCAGGCAUGGAUUCUCUUCAGUAUGUCAAACAAAGGCUUAAGCUCAGCAGUGGCUGUAGUUUAAAAAGGACAGGUCCAACUUAUAUCCCCUAAAAGAUUUUGAAAAUCAUUUAAUGAUUUUUCAGUGUUGUGCUUAUCUUAAUUCCAAAGGUGUGUGGGUCACUGUUUGUGUCCUUAAUACACGACCCAAGUAAUUAAAUGAAGGCCGCACCUGUACCUUUCCUGGGGCCACCUUAAACCGUAAGUGAAAUCAGUUGCUGCAACACUUCUCGUAAGUAGGCUCUGUGCUUGUGGAAGAUGAGGACAUCGUCCAUACAAGGAACCAAAUAAACCUGACAUCAGAUGGAAUACCUUUGCAGGACAUCAGAUGGAAUACCUUUGCAGGACAUCAGAUGAUGGAAUACCUUUGCAGGACAUCAGAUGAUGGAAUACCUUUGCAGGACAUCAGAUGGAAUACCUUUGCAGGACAUCAGAUGAUGGAAUACCUUUGCAGGACAUCAGAUGGAAUACCUUUGCGUUUCCCUCUCUAGUCACCUCCGAAUUGUAACAACAGAAUUUGAACUAGUUCGAUUUUUUUUUUCUUGGACCCCAAGGAAGUUUCCCACGACUUCCCCGGUGCUUGAGAAGCCUUGUCCAUAUGACCUGACACCUUCUGCUAAGCUUGUUUUGUAAACUGUGCAGAGUUGAGGUACCUAAUAAGGAGACAUGCACGUGAGCUAAGACUGUAAAUCAAGUCCAGAGUUAGGUGGAACACAGGAACUGUGUGGCGAACUAAAAGCUGCCUGUCCAGUCUGAAGGCAGUAAGUACAGUGCAUUCAAAAAGAAAACCCCGCUGCUGAGCAGGCUGGUGCGCACCUGUCCUCCCAACAGCUCUGGAGACUGAAGAGAAGGAUCUCAUGAACUCAAGCAGCUGGUGAGGACCUGCCUCCAAUAACAACACAGUGCCAGCAACAAUACACCCAUGGGUGACUUGGUAACGCGCAGACCCCACUAGGUUCUCUGUAACUCAAAGGCUGGGGGAAAGGUUUUGCUUUCCUAUUUCUGGUGUGUCAUAUUUCAUUGAGGCACAGACAUUGACUAGUCUUCCCUGGAUAAAGAAAGAGCAUGAAAGAAAAUUGCGAACUACCGGAGGGUGGACAGAGAAGACCGAUGAUUAAUAGUAUUAGUGUUCUAUGGAAGCUGACGUUACUUUCAGCGUCAAAUCCUCCUUGUGAUCUCUCAUUGUGAUUAAUCUGCACUCAUUUUCCCAAGUUCCUUGGCAUCGCACCUAAUUUAUAUCUGUAUGGGAUACAGAUAUAUUUGUCUAUAUACACAGUAAUAUUUGUCUAGCCUCUCUGUAAGCUUCAGCUCUUUGGAUAAACUAAGCCAUACAAAAAAGUGCAGUAUUUUAUGAUGGUAUGUCUGGUCUCCCAAGAAAGCCCUUUUCCCAAGGUCAGGCAUUUAAACAAAAACUCCCAUUCCCUAGGAGGCUUGGAGAAAGUUCCUGCUUGGAGAAAAAAGAGUCAUUCUCCUUAUCUCUGGCAAGAAAAACUUGUGGUCCUUCCAUUAACACAUAACUGUGGUGCCUAUGCAUACAUAUAGUUCAUAUGUAUGCUAUAUAUAGCAUAUAUGCCUAUAUAUACAUACACAUAUGUAUACAUAGUAUUAAUAUGUAAUAGGUAUAUAUACUAUUAAUACUUUGGCAGUUACAGCCAACCCAUUGCAUUUAACAGUUUAACCAGCCAUCUCAUUAUAGGCUUAGCAUGUAGUAGAGUAAAAAUAUUUCUUCCCUUUAUGCUGUAAGUGCAAUAUUAAUUCAUUGAAAACAUACAAAAUUAAAAGUUAGUCCCUGAAAAAAGUGUAAUUAAUAAAAGUUAAAUGAAAAAAUUUUAAAAAGUUAGUUCCUCACUUACAGUAAUGACAUUUUAAUUACUCAAUAGCAAAUAUAGCUGGUGACUACUAUAUUAGUGUAAAAAUAAGAAGGCAUUUUCGUCCAGGGACUCUUCCAUUGGACAACAGUGCCACGGGUUGUUGUCCAAUGGAAUAAAUGCCACAAGGACAGAAUUAUGCCUUGUUUAACACUGUGCUCAGUGCCUGGAAUAAAGUAGUUAAUAAACGUUUAACCUAUCACAUUGAAAAAUAAAUAAAUAUUUUAAAAAGAGGAAAUUUUCUCAAAGAGAAUAUGAAUUUAAAAUGGAGCCAAACUGAAUUUUUAUAGAAUGCUUCCAGUAAUGGGAGACUGAUAUCCAAUGGGAUCAAUUCUCUAAGUGUUCCCAAUUAUUUGCUCCAGGAGGAAUGACUGGAUAUUUCAUGGAAUCAACAGAAAAUGGGCAGAGAGGUUAAAGGAUGUGCAGCAAUAAUCCCCCUGCCUUGUCCAGGGUUAACCCUGAGAUAAAGGGGAAGGGGAGAAGAAGCCAUCCCCUGCAUGAAAGCAGCUUAAGGCUGAACAUGAUAGCCUGGGUGUAGGGCUGGUCCCAGACCUCAUGGUGAAAGCUCCUAAGGUUAAGAGGAUUAAGUCUCUAAUUUGAGGCCACUAUAACUUGAUUCAGGAGGAAGGACAGCCCAGAACUGACCCAGGAAGAGGUAGCAUAGAAUGUCAGAGAAAAACUUAAAGAAAUGCUCAAUGUCCUUAGUCAUCAAAGAAAUGCAAAUCAAAAGGACCCUGAGAUUUCACCUUACACCCAUCAGAAUGGCUAAGAUAAAAAUUCAAGUGACAACACAUACUGGAGAGGAUGUGGAGAAAGGGGAACCCUCCUCCAUUUCUGGUGGAAAUGUAAACUUGUACAACCACUUUGGAUAUCAUUGUGGUGCUUUCUCAGACAAUUAGGAACAGUGCUACCUCAAGAUCCAGCUAUACCUCUACUAGGCAUAUAUCCAAAAUAUGUUCAAGUAUACAACAAGGACAUUUGUUCAACCAUGUUUGUAACAGCUUUAUUUGUACUAGCCAGAAGCUGGAAACAACUCAGAUGUCCCUCAAUUGAGGAAUGGAUACAGAAAUUGUGGUAUUUUACACAAUGGAACACUACUCAGCAAUUAAAAUCAAGGAAAUCAUGAAAUUUGAAGGCAAAUGGUGGGAACUAGAAAAGAUCAUCCUAAAUGAGGUAUCCCAGAAGCAGAAAGGCACACAUACUCACUUAUAAGUGGAAAUUAGACAUAUAAUAUAGGAUAAUCAUACUAAAAUCUUUACACCUAAAGAAGCUAAGCAAGAAGGAGGACCCUGGGUAAGAUGAUCAAUCCUCAUUCAGAAAGGCAAACAGGAUGGACAUUGGAAGAGAGAGAAAACAGGGGACAGGACAGGAGUCUACCACAGAGGGCCUCUGAAAGACCCCGCAGGGUAUGAAAGCAGAUGCUGAGACUUAUAGCCAAACUUUGGGCAGAGUGCAGGGAAUAUUAUGAAAGAAGGAAGAGAUAGAAAAACCUGGAGGGGACAAGAGCUCCUCAAGGAGAGCAACAGAACCAAGAAAUCUGGGCCCCGGUGUCUUUUCUGAGACUGAUACUCCAACCAAUGACCAUGCAUGGAGAUAACCUAGAACCCCUGCACAGAUGUAGCCCAUGACAGCUCAGUGUCCAUGUGGCUUCCAUAGUAAUGGGAAGAGGGACUGUCUCUGACAUGAACUCUGUGGCUGGGUCUUUGAUCACCUCCCCCUGACGGGGGAGCAACUUUACCAGGCCACAGAGGAAGACAAUGCAGACAGUCAUGAUGAGUCCUGAUAGACUAGGGUCAGAUGAAGGGGAGGGCCACCUCCCCUAUCAGUGGACUUGGGAAGCGGCUUAGAGGGGAUGAAGGAGGGAUGGGGGGGAUUGGGAGGGAAUGAGGAAAGGGACUACAGCUGGGAUACAAAGUGAAUAAACUGCAAUUAAUACAAAAAAAAUAAAAAAAAACAAGAAAUGAAAGAAAAAAAAGCAUCUUUCACUGCAGAUACAGUUACUGAUAAACCAUAGUGUUGUUCUCAGCAGGAGCUUUUUGCUGUUUCUUAUUCACUUGGAAUGAAGAACAUUCCAUCCUUUACCCCAAGAGUAUUGCCACAUCAGACUAUUUCCCCAGCACUUACUCACUAAAUUCCAACAAUGUUUCUCAAUAAGUCAACAAACAAUUUCUUCAUUGUUUGCACUUAUUACAGUCUGACUUUUGCCUUCAAGUUGUACAUUUUGUCUCUAACUGUUUCAAAGAAUUCUUAGCUAUAUUAACUCAAUGUUAGGUUUCAAAUCCAGGACAAGGUGCCUAUUUAACAUAUCAAAAUAGACCUGGGUACAGGUUUUCUAAGCAUUUCUCCAUUGCCUUUCUUUUACAGGAUAUAGCUGACAAAUCUUGCCCUUUAUCCUGAACUUUCCAGCCCAGAGGCUUGGCUCCUCUUCUGCCAAAGGCUCUUUCUUACGUAAUCCAAAGUUUUUAAAUACUUGUCCGCCCCGCCCCCCUUUUUAUUUUUUUUUUAUUUUUUUUAUUUAUUUAUUUAUUUAUUUUUGUACCUUUGGCCUCCUCACUACUAUACUUGGUUCCCCUCUCUUCCUUUUCUUUCAGCUCUUCCUUCAUGGCUCCCCACAUGGCUGCCCCUCAUGCCCUCUUGGGCUUCCCACCACAUGGGCAUCUCUUGCAUCUUUCACAGCCCUACCACUUGAGCAAUUGUGUUUACUAAGACACUUGCGCCUCGCCAGCUGCUUUCUCCUCUACCUGGCCUAACCAUUUGUCUCUCCUCUUCUAUGGCGUGUCACUUCAGAGCUCCCUGCUUUGUCUGCUUUUAUUAUGAAAGCCACACUGGUAUGGUAUGACAAGAAGCUUUCUUUCACCCUUCUGGGCCCUCAUCACAGGGAGAAGGACACUUCUUCUCUGUGGUUUGGAACAUUUGACAAGUCUCUCAGUCACUUGGGGAUGCCCCAGAAUGAAAUUCCUGUUGCCAUGAUACUUACCCUUCUGCUCCCUCAUGGCUCCUCUCAGUUCUUGGAACUUCCUCAUCUCCACCCUAGGACAUGCCUGCACACUCUAGAGCCUUGGACCUUUCUUUACCAUUCCCUCAGAGCUGGCUGUUCUAGCUGCCCUAGUGCCCUCCUGAAUCUCUAUGUUGGCAGUUUCCUUGCCUCCCCCCUCGGAAUUGCCUGCACAGUCCCACAGCUUCUCUAUGCCCUUAUGCUUUCUACCAGGUUGGAACUCUCCCUCGGGUGAAGUGAGAGGACCAGGCCUGAGUCACCAAAUCCCCAAAAGGUAUUUUUUUUAUUUUUUUGUACCUUUGGCCUCCUCACUACUAUACUUGGUUCUCCUCUCUUCCUUUUCCUUCAGCUCCCAAGAACUAGGCCAUAGGUCACCAAUUCCAGAAAUAAAAUUCCCUACCCAAAGAAUAGCCUGGAGGUAACCACAAGAAUGGGAAGGUAUCUUAUCUCAGUUGGGCAUCUGUGCUGGGCAGCCCACUGACCUUGUAGUAGAACAUUUCAUGGCACAGAAAAUACCUACCAUUCCUGAGGUCUAUAGAUAGCUCACCCAAUGUUAGUUAUGUUAGCUAGCCAAUAACUUUGUAACAAGCUUGCCCUUGCUGAAUUUCAUCCAAUCUUGUACCUCCUAAACUGGAAAUUCCCAGUUCUUGCUCAAACCCCAAUAAAAACCCUUCCAUGCAACUGUCCUGGGCUCUCCUCUCUGAUCCUUUGUGUUGGUGCCCAAGGUUAAGCCCAAAUAAAGCUCUUUGCUCUUGCAUACGUGGUCUAGCUCCUGGUGGUCUUUGGGGACCUUAAGAUCUGGGCAUAACAAUGAGUUCCUGCUUGCUCCUCCUUGUCCCUUUUGACUAUACUGUUCUCUGUCUCUUAGCUAGGUUCCCCCUUUUUCUGAUCCCAUUUAAACCUGAAAAUCUUUUUCUUGUCACUUCUUGCUUUCACGGAAGACAACCUUGGCAGUUUGGAAUAAACUUUUUCCCCCUUACACCCACAAA
Molecule: long non-coding RNA, 5891 nt
Organism: Meriones unguiculatus (Mongolian gerbil)
Lineage: Eukaryota; Metazoa; Chordata; Mammalia; Rodentia; Muridae
Exons: 3
Source: RefSeq, a predicted model, not a curated record